GUCAGUGCAGGCAACAGCCCCUCACCCCUUAGUGCUGGUGACCCACAUCACCAUCUCUUCUCUCCCCAGGGUGAUGUGGGGCAGGAAGGGCCAGAAGGGGCUCCUGGAGAAGCUGGCAGACGGGUAAAGGGCACUGCUGUCUCUAUGGAAAGCUGGACUGUGUCCACAGAGUGGCAGUGAGGGGAUGCAGGCAGUCAGGUCAGUGCAUUUGAGCUGCUUGAAUCACUCACGAGUCUUCAACCUCCUGUUCCCAGGGCAAGCGAGGCAAGGUGGGGCACCGGGCACCCAGGGGCUCCCGUGGACCCAAGGGCCAUCAAGGUGACGAGGGGCUGGCAGGGCCCCAGGGCCUACAAGGACUAUAUGGCAUCCCUGGGCUGAAGGGCUUCAGAGGGGACCCUGGACACAAAGGACUCAAGGGCGAGAAGGGCAGCAGAGGCCACCUGGGGCAGCACGGGGACGAUGGCUUCAAGGUGCAUGGGGGGCUCACAGCUCUUCCCCCCUUGCUCCCUAUGUCACCCUAUGUAACA
RNAcentral lists this long non-coding RNA (527 nucleotides) under Phasianus colchicus (ring-necked pheasant). RNAcentral's name for it is "lncRNA (ENSPCLG00000013023.1)". Lineage: Eukaryota; Metazoa; Chordata; Aves; Galliformes; Phasianidae. The record is from RNAcentral.